This 75-nucleotide transfer RNA is filed under the name Clostridiales bacterium. RNAcentral describes it as "tRNA-Gln". It matches the Rfam family "tRNA". From Rfam's summary of the family: Transfer RNA (tRNA) molecules are approximately 80 nucleotides in length. RNAcentral also lists the same sequence under 4 other names. Lineage: Bacteria; Bacillati; Bacillota; Clostridia; Eubacteriales. The record is from RNAcentral.
UGGGGUGUAGCCAAGUGGUAAGGCAAGGGACUUUGACUCCCUCACUCGCUGGUUCGAGUCCAGCCAUCCCAGCCA